GCCAUACCACCCUGAACACUCCCGAUCUCAUCUGAUCUCAGAAGCUAAGCAGGGUCGGGCCUGGUGAGUACUUGGACGGGAAAAAGACAGGUAGAAAGAAACA
This 103-nucleotide ribosomal RNA is filed under the name Prolemur simus (greater bamboo lemur). The record is from RNAcentral. Lineage: Eukaryota; Metazoa; Chordata; Mammalia; Primates; Lemuridae.